RNAcentral lists this ribosomal RNA (224 nucleotides) under uncultured bacterium env.OS_ace8. RNAcentral describes it as "partial 16S ribosomal RNA". It matches the Rfam family "Bacterial small subunit ribosomal RNA", at positions 1137 to 1361 of the family's 1533-position model. The record is from RNAcentral. Lineage: Bacteria; Bacillati; Actinomycetota; Actinomycetes.
ACUCUGAUCGGACUGCCGCCGUAAGGUGGAGGAAGGUGGGGACGACGUCAAGUCAUCAUGGCCUUUAUGUCCAGGGCUACACACGUGCUACAAUGGUGAACACAGCGGGCAGCGACGUCGCGAGGCGGAGCGAAUCUCGUAAAGUUCAUCUCAGUUCAGAUUGGAGUCUGCAACCCGACUCCAUGAAGGUGGAAUCGCUAGUAAUCGCGCAUCAGCCAUGCGCG